This 382-nucleotide ribosomal RNA is filed under the name uncultured eukaryote. Its description in RNAcentral is "partial 18S ribosomal RNA". It matches the Rfam family "Eukaryotic small subunit ribosomal RNA", at positions 592 to 976 of the family's 1831-position model. The record is from RNAcentral.
CAAUAGCAUAUAUUAAAGUUGUUGCAGUUAAAAAGCUCGUAGUUGGAUUUCUGGUUGAAGCGACCGGUCGGGCGUUGAUUCGUCUGCACUGGAGUCGGUUUUGGCCAUCCUCUAGGAAAGUGCGUCUGGUAUUAAGUUAUCGGGCGUAUGAUCCUGGUCUUUUACUGUGAAAAAAUUAGAGUGUUUAAAGCAGGCCUUCGCCUUGAAUACAUUAGCAUGGAAUAAUAAGAUAGGACUUUGGUCUAUUUUGUUGGUUUGCAGACCGAAGUAAUGAUUAAUAGGGAUAGUUGGGGGUAUUUAUAUUCCGAUGUCAGAGGUGAAAUUCUUAGAUUUUCGGAAGAUAAACUUAUGCGAAAGCAUUUACCAAGGAUGUUUUCAUUAA